Gasterosteus aculeatus aculeatus (three-spined stickleback) is the source of this 480-nucleotide long non-coding RNA. NCBI's taxonomy places the organism in Eukaryota, Metazoa, Chordata, Actinopteri, Perciformes, Gasterosteidae. The record is from Ensembl.
GGUUGAAAGCCGGAGUGAGUCGGUUCAUGGACGUUUGGCACCCGAUUCUCCCGCUUCAGAAAAACCCGAGAAGCAUCCGGCCUCCAGUCGAAUGCGUCGUAAAGGAGAGGACCACAAAGGAGGCGCGUACCUUCUUGUUCUCCUCUCUGUAGGCCGCCGUGGCUUUACGUACAUGGAGAAGCAGCCUUUUUCAGCUCCACGUAUCUGGAACAAAGUCUCAGAAAGCUGCAGGUCUGCUGGGUCCCUCAGCUCCAUUAAAUCCAAAUCAAAGACUUUUCUUUUUGCUGCUGCCUUAAAUUUCUCGCUCUCUGCUGGUCAGCUGCAGCUUCACGCUGUGUGUUUCUCCGUCGCUCUGGAGACGCCGGCGGUUCACCACCACAACCACCAGAGGUCUCAGAUCCUGCAGAGGAGAGAGGACCACAGGCAUCAUCAAGUGUGGAGGAAACCUUUUUACGGAAGCAGUGAGAGAGAAGAGCACAG